This is a long non-coding RNA of Oreochromis aureus, 7223 nucleotides long. RefSeq lists it as uncharacterized. NCBI's taxonomy places the organism in Eukaryota, Metazoa, Chordata, Actinopteri, Cichliformes, Cichlidae. The transcript has 3 exons. The record is from RefSeq and is a predicted model, not a curated record.
AGUAACCUUGCCUAAGUCAACAGUGGCCCCGCUGCUUUACUGCAUAAGAAAUUCUGAAGAUCAUAUUUGGGCCUCGAAGACGGAAACCUGCUAUAUGCCUUGAUUGACGGCCGAGCCUCGCACGGGCUCAGACUGCGAUGCCGUAAUGCGUUUUGCUUCCACAUCAACAGACGGAACAUGGGGGCUACAAAAGAGGAAAAGAUGGCCUGCGAUGAUGAGGAGCCAAAGCGGCGGGCUUUUGGCACUCUUCGAGCCGCAUUUGAGAAUUUCCUACUUACCUCAUUUCAGAGGUGUUGCUUAAUCACAUUCACUGCCUGUCUGAAGAGCCAUGAAGAAAGAAGACCCAAAUGAGUUAAACUAUGAGGAUUACGAAGUUCAACUGGUGUUUCUUUAACCCCCGGAGACCCACAGUAAGUCAGCAAUCUUUGCAGGCUUUUGUGUUUUGUCAUUUUUACAGUUUUACACAUCCAAGAACAAGCAAAACAUCAGCUAAUUGUAUAUUACUGGACUUGCAUACACUUGCAACAGGGGAUAUUAGCCAAUAAAACAAAACUGUACAUUCACAGUCACUUUAUUAAGUACAUCUGUUCAACUGCUUGUUUAUGCAACUAUCUAAUCAGCCAAUCACAUGACAGCAACUCAGGGCAGGCAGGGAGACGUGGUCAAGAAAACCUGCUGAAGUUCAAAUUGAACAUGAGAAUGGGGAAGAAGCAUAAUUUAAGUGAACUUAAACGUAGCAUGGUUGUUACUGUAAGUAUUUCAGAAACUGCUGAUCUGCAGGGAUUUUUCCAUAUGUACAUAUUUACACAGAAUGGUCUGAAAAAGAGAAAAUAUCCAGUGCGUGGCAGUUAAAAUGCUGAUCAAAGGAGAAUGGAAAGACUAAGAAUAGGAAGGCAGCAGUAACUAAAUAACCACUCAUUGCAAUCAAGACAUGCAGAAGAGCAUCUCUGAACGCACAGCACAUUGAACCUUGAGGCAGAUGAGCUACAGCAGCAGAGGACCACACUGGGUGCGAGUCCUGUCAGCUCAGAACAGGAAACUAAGGCUACAGUUCAAACAGGAUCAUCAACACUGGACAAUGGAAUAUUGGAAAAAACGUUGCCUGGUCUGAUGAGUCUCGAUUUCUGCUGCAACAUUCAGAUGGUAGAGUCAGACUUUGGGAUAAACAACAUGAAAACUUGGAUCCAUGCUGCCUUGCAUCAACAGUUCAGGCUGCUGGUAGUGCGAUGGUGUGGGGGAUAUUUUCUUGGCACACUUUAGACCUCUUAGUGCCAACUGAGCGUAUAAACAACACGGCCUCCCUCAGUAUCGCUGCUGACCAUGUUACAUUAAAUUACAGCAGUAAAGCAGCCUUUAUUACCACCAUAUUACCAUCUUCAUGAGCUUGUUUAAUGUAACAUGUGGUAUAAAAGUGCCAUGAAUAUAAUUCACAGUAAUGUCAGAUUAUGUUUGCAAAUUCUUUGUGAGCCCUAAAUCUCAUAAGCAGUUAAGAAAAUAAAUGGAUGGAUGGAUCACAGGUUUAUGCAGAUUCAUACUCUGGGGAGCACUAAUGUUUACACUAAAUUGGACUUGACUAAAGUUUUGUUGGGUAAUUUUACAAAAAGUCAGAAAAAAAAGAAAGAAAAAAACUUCCUCCUGGGCCUUAGGAAAUUACAUUUAUACAAAAGAAAUCACAUCCACACUGGCCUGGUAUCAAAAGAUAACAUAGGCAAUGAGACGUUUCAUAUGCUAUCACUUGUUUAGAGUCAGCUAUCCCCACAUGGUGAAACGUACCCUCGAAGCUUUGCUCCAAAAUGCUUAUUGAAGUUUUCACUGGUAAAUUAUUGGAUAAGAGAUCAUCCCAGAUAUUGAAUUAGUGCAGUUUUGCCAUUGAAACUGUUAUUCAUCCAAUGAUACUGAUGCUCAAAGCUGGUCCAUCCAUCCAUGGAGCCAGUUUCUUCCACUUAUACAAUGGGCCGAGAAGCGGGGGUACACCCUGGAGAGGUCACCAGUCUGUUGCAGGACUAACACAUAACACAUUCACACCUAUUGGCAAUUUAGAAUCACAAAUUAACCUAACCCUACUCACUGUACUGUGAGAGGAAGCUGUGACUGUGACAGUUAAAGUGGAUGUAAAAUUGAUUUGGUUGCAGUUUGUAGCAGAGCUGAGAAACUGUGAGCUCUGAAAAUGUCAUGCCUCAACACUCAUGUACUUUACGAGGCCUCAAAAACUGCUGGAAACAAUAAGACGAAUCAAAAGCACCAGAUUUCCACCAACCCUUGUGUGCUUUUCAGGCCUGUCACUGGUACAAAGAUUAAAUUGUGCAUGGCUUCAUUAAAUAUGUUAAAGUUAAAAAUGGUGUCUUUCUAAGGAGGGGUCAGGUUGGAGGCGCACACUGUUUUUAAACAUGGCUAAAACUCGUCAUUACACUUAAAAAAAAAAGCUCAGGAUGACUGAAGUGCCGUUUAAGUUAAAAACAUGAAUUGUGCUAAUGACUACUCUGAAUAAUGUGAAAAUUACCAUGCCACAAAAUGUAACUGUUACUAAUUACUACAUGAAUGUUUGUAAUGAGUUCGACUAAUAACAGACUGCAAGUGGCAAAAACCGCAGAACAUGUUUUCACACGUGCACUGCUGGGUGGCCAAACGGCCAUGCAGUCUGUUUAUAACCAGUUCCUGUAAGAUUGCAUCAGGAAACAAGAAGCACACAUGAUGCAAAGACAAUGCAUCUUUGCAUCAUCUCUAUUUUACCAUUGGCUCUCCGUGCACAACCCCACCAUCCCCUUUUAACUAAGAACUGACACACCGCAGCAAUGAACUGCAAUGCCUUCACGACUGGGCAAAGGGGAUGCAACCUAAAACAAACCAUAAUUAUCUAUUUGUGGUUCUGCUUGGGGCAAAAAAGAACAUAAUACAAAAGCACACACACGAUGUUUGGAGUUCCAGUAAGUUCCACAACCACAGUUUAGUCUCAGGGGGAUUCUGGGUUCCUCUUAGCUGAACUUCUUCGCUUUCUUUCUUGAACGAUGCAUGCACACACAUAUACACUCCUGCAUGCAAUAAACAUAACACUAGCUCACAGGUCUUGGUGUCCACGGGACAGUUUGCUCUGCCGACCUGCUGUGAGCCGGGCCUGUGUCUUUUCUCCUAGACAUUGCUUCAGACUUACUAUCUGUUUCCACAGCCGUGCGCCUGCUGACCCGAGAAUGCGGACGGCACUCGGGUACAUUGUUUUACGAGGCUGAGCGGCGUAUGUGAGAUGUAAAAUGUAGAUGCUGCUUAUUUUUCUGGAUAAAGCUAACUGUGGGCGGAUUUUUGCACCAGUGUGUGUUACAUUUAUUCUUAAGUGAUAAUCUGACAAGGAGAUUCUUGUCGUUUCACAUUUGGUGUCAUCUUUGGUGAAAUUUAGUAACUGCUCAAGUGAUUUGGGUGCAGUGUACCCCACCAUUACUUACAUAUGGAAAGUGCCACAUUUCUGUCCUCGAGGGAUUUGGGCAAUUAAGGAAAACUUCAUGGAUUUUAAAUCUGUUUGUUUACAGGUCUUAUGGAGCCUACACUGCAUAAACGAUGGACAUAGCCCUAAAUGUGAUGUCACACUUGUUCCUGAACUAUCAUUUUGAUGCCUUGAAUUUAACGUUAUAAUUAUAACUACCUUAUUGUGGAGGAGGGGUUUGUGUGUGGAUGCGUGCCAGCGGCUAUGCUGUUGGGGAGCUUCUUGGCCCCAGGUAAUUGGUCCUGGGUGAUGGACCAGUUUGCCAUGGGAGAUAGCAGUCACGUAAGAAUUAGCAGACUGGGGUGGUGGUUCCCGUCUUCAAGAAGAGGGACCGGAGGGUGUGCUCCAACUAUAGGGAGAUCAGACUCUUAAGCCUCUCUGGGAAAGUCUAUGCCAGGGUGCUGGAAAAGAGAGUCUGUUCGUUAGUCAAACCCCAUAGACAUGAGUAUCUAAGGUUACAGAACACUGAACCAGCUCUUUACCCUCUGAAGGAUAUUUGAGGGUGCAUGGGAGUUUUCCCAACCAGUCUAUAUGUGUUUUGUAGACUUAGAGAAGGCACUGCCUUGGAGUGUUCUGUAGGAGGUGUUUCGGGAGUAUGAGGUGUCUGGCCUGUUGCUAUGACCCAUUUGAUCCUUAUACAACUGUUUCAAGAGCUUGGUCCGCAUAGCUGGCAAUAGAUCGGACUCAUUCCCUGUGGGUGUUGGAUGAAAAGAUGGAGCACUGUGGCUAACGCUAGCUUGCUAAAACUUAGCAAACAAAGUAAUUUUUUUAUUUUUUGGACUCAAACAAAAAUAGCUAGCGAGUCAAAACCAAUAUUUCCACCAGGCUGUGAAUACGCUUGUUUCUAAUAGAAAUUUGGGGCAUUUAACAUGGACGUCCAUAGAGAACCCUUUACUUUCAGAGGCAGCCUCAAGCCAUUAUUAUAUCUUGCCUGAAGUUCUAGUCUGGGUGUACAACUGUAUGCGUUAGUUUGUUAGCUGCUCAUUAAAUGCUUUGUGUAAUGCAGCUGCAGCUGAAGGCAUUUUUUUGUAAAUUUAUCAGACCUCUGUAGCCUGCUAAUCAUCCCUGCUUGAGUUUUUGAAGCUACAUUAGCACCACCAAAAGUCACCAAAUUCUCAACACCCUGGUGAAGAUCACUCAUCUGUUUAUUCAAUAUGGCUGGUUUUCGUUUUUGUUCACAAUAAAUUGUGAAUGCAACAAAAGGAGUGCAAUGCUAACUUGGUGUGACUGUAACUGAAUGGGUCUUAAAUGAAAGAAAUAACUUGCCAUAAGUUUAGUUACUGUGUUAAUACGGAAAACAGUUGAUAUAUUCCAGCCUGAGCUGUAUAGCAGCACUUCAACUCAGAAUUUGCUCACAAUAAUUAAUAAGAACAUAGUUUGCAAAAGCUAUCAAAGGGUACUCAAAGGAAAUCCAUGGUACAGUUUCACAGAAGGUGUAAGUAGGCAAAUCAGGGAGUGGACACCUUGGUACGACCAAAAUUACUGCGACCAUGUGCAAUGAACUUGAGAGUUGCCAAUGAAAUAGUUGCUUUGAAGAUGCCAACCAGGUCUGCGACCACUCGCAGUCAGCUGCCAUCUUCAAAGUGACCCGUGUCAAAAUGGUGAUACAGAUGGAGUCAGUCUGCCUUCAGUGUGAGACUGAAUCAAGUUGGCAAUUACAUGCGAUCUGUUUGUGAUAAUAAAACAAUUAACUGAGGAAAAUAGGUGAAAACCACAAAUCUGUUGUUGUCUACUUACAUUCAGAUUCCAACCAGAACCUCAUAGAACUGAAACAGUCGUUAAGCAGUUCCUCCUCAGAUAGUGAUGUUGUUGCUCCAAACAUGCUUUCAUAUAGGAAUAUAAUCAGAAUAUAACCAGUUGCUAACUAAUCGAGUCAAGUCCCCUGUUGUAGAGAGACUUGUUGCAGACAAACUCAGGCUGAUCGCAAUGUGUUGGCAAUCUGUAUUUAUGAAUUAAAAAGCAAUUACUGGCAAACAUUUACCAGUCUGUCUGAGAGUGAUAGCGGUCAGUCCAACUUGAACUCCAACUGUUUGGAGACAGGUUGCCUCCCACCAGUUGACCUCUUCCAAAAAUGGUCAUGCAGAGGUUGAGGCUGUUGCAUGCUCAACCUUUGGGCAGUCAGUUGGGUGCUGCAGCUACUUGCAAUUUGCUGAAUCCGAACAAAUUCAAGCAAUCACUGUGCAACCAUCGAUUUUUCCUAGUUGCAAGGAGGUUUGACUGAGUUGUAAGCGUCUUUGUUCACGCGUGUAUUGCAUAAACUGAGAAACAUUUAACAGGAGUGGUCUUCCCAAAAUGUCACACUUCCUGAAAGAGAAACAAAUACCACAGUUGUGUCGUCAUAUGUGCCAUCGCAAGGCUCUGAGAGCUUUCUGAUGUUCUCGCUCCGGUUUUCCACACUCGAUAUAGUACGAGGUGUUCGCUGCUCGUAUUUUACAUACUUCUCCACCCUUUCCCGAACACUGCUGCUGCUGCUGCAACCCCUUGACCUGUCUGUCGACCCUUGUUCCCAUGACAAUUAGUUUGAAACCUUGGCCAAUUAUCGGCCGCUCUCAAACUCGGGCUUAACAAAGUGCUCAGAGCGGCCGACGGCGUGCCACCACUUUCCUAAACCCCCUCAAUAGCCGAGAGAGAUUUGUGUGCUGGGUUAAUAGCGGGAUAGUAAAAGCACUGCAGAGGCGACAUUGUUGAGUUCAUGUUGGUUUAUAGUGCGCUGUGACCCUGCUGAACGUUUUAUAGAGAAGGGUGUCUAUCAUGGGAUAAGGGCAGCAUAAAGAGGACUCCACAACAAGCAGCCAUAAAAGCCUGGUACAGACUUUGAGGGCCUCUACAGAAAAAAAGGAGACCUCAGGAGCAACUGAAAUGAAAUCUGAUUCAUGGAAAGGCAAGACUGAAAGAGCUGAGGGCCAUGCUGCACAACCUGUUACACACUGCCAGGCGAGAAACAGAGAUCGAGUGUCUUUCUAUUCUGCGUGUAGGUGACGCGUCCCCUCAAGAAUGUGGUUCUCUUCCUCUCGCCGUUUGCUUCAGUUUCCCCCUCUGCCUGCUUACUUCACUCGCACAGCCGAGGAGCUGUCGCUUGAGGAAUCUGGAAAACACCAGCGGGGAAUGAGAGGAAUUUCUGCUUUUCGUUUUUCCUUAACCACCCCCUCACUCCUUUUGCUCUCUUUACUUUGGACGCCUCUGCACAGCCGGGCUCUUGAGUUUUCUCUUGUUUCUGAAUGCAGCCCAACAAUAACAACCUCUCAUAAACAAUGGGGCUUGUUGAUUUGGGGGUUGUGAAGGAGAGUGGCCGUUGCUGGCCUGCGCUGUCAGUUUUGCUGGCAGCGGGCCUCGCGAAUGGCCCUAAAAGCUCGAAAGUACAGGCUACAUCGAGGACUGUGAAAGAUUUAAGGGCAACUUUAAAUAUGCCCCAUCUCUGAAGGACCAUAAACACAUGCUUUAGUUCUUUCUUAAUCUAUCUUUCUUCCAGAAGGACUUUGAUGGACCAAACUCUGAAAGGGGGAUGCUGGUCAAUGUCAGGAAACCACAAAAGUACAGGGGGGAAAAAAUGGUAGUUUUGGAAUUCUCUGCUUUUACAGCACCCGUGGACUCGUAAAGAGAGUCUGGAUCACAUCGAGUAGGAUUUGAACAAGACGAUCGUGGAGCCGUGCCCCAUCCUUUCAGCCUAUGGGCAAAACAUAGCCGGUCACAUGUCAUUUAAACAGCAACAGUUAAACCCUGCCUGCGUGACAGGGAAAUGAUAAUACAGAGU